Molecule: ribosomal RNA, 731 nt
Filed under: Burkholderia sp. P6 RG6-5
Lineage: Bacteria; Pseudomonadati; Pseudomonadota; Betaproteobacteria; Burkholderiales; Burkholderiaceae
Description: bacterial SSU rRNA
Rfam family: Bacterial small subunit ribosomal RNA
Source: RNAcentral
GCUUGCACCAGGUGGCGAGUGGCGAGGGGUGAGUAAUACAUCGGAACAUGUCCUGUAGUGGGGGAUAGCCCGGCGAAAGCCGGAUUAAUACCGCAUACGAUCUACGGAUGAAAGCGGGGGACCUUCGGGCCUCGCGCUAUACGGUUGGCCGAUGGCUGAUUAGCUAGUUGGUGGGGUAAAGGCCUACCAAGGCGACGAUCAGUAGCUGGUCUGAGAGGACGACCAGCCACACUGGGACUGAGACACGGCCCAGACUCCUACGGGAGGCAGCAGUGGGGAAUUUUGGACAAUGGGCGAAAGCCUGAUCCAGCAAUGCCGCGUGUGUGAAGAAGGCCUUCGGGUUGUAAAGCACUUUUGUCCGGAAAGAAAUCCUUGGCUCUAAUACAGUCGGGGGAUGACGGUACCGGAAGAAUAAGCACCGGCUAACUACGUGCCAGCAGCCGCGGUAAUACGUAGGGUGCGAGCGUUAAUCGGAAUUACUGGGCGUAAAGCGUGCGCAGGCGGUUUGUUAAGACCGAUGUGAAAUCCCCGGGCUCAACCUGGGAACUGCAUUGGUGACUGGCAAGCUAGAGUAUGGCAGAGGGGGGUAGAAUUCCACGUGUAGCAGUGAAAUGCGUAGAGAUGUGGAGGAAUACCGAUGGCGAAGGCAGCCCCCUGGGCCAAUACUGACGCUCAUGCACGAAAGCGUGGGGAGCAAACAGGGAUUAGAUACCCUGGUAGUCCACGCCCUA